This 2036-nucleotide long non-coding RNA is filed under the name Salmo salar (Atlantic salmon). Its description in RNAcentral is "lncRNA (ENSSSAG00000088183.1, ENSSSAG00000090797.1)". The record is from RNAcentral. Lineage: Eukaryota; Metazoa; Chordata; Actinopteri; Salmoniformes; Salmonidae.
ACAAUAAACAAGCAACACAACGUGACUACGUGGUGACACAAGCACCAAUACAAACAAUAUCCCACAAACACAGGUGGGAAAAAUGGCUAGCUAAAUAUGAUCCCCAAUUAGAGGCAACGAUUACCAGCUGCCUCUAACUGGGAACCAUACAAAACAGCAACAUAAAAAUAUUGAACUAGAACACCCCCUAGUCACGCACUGACCUACUACACCUUAGAGAACCAGGGGCUCUCUAUGGUCAGGUCGUGACAUUAACGUUUCAUGCAUGGCCUUUCUUACGAUCCUAACAAUUUACGUAUGGAUUUUCUAACGAUCCUAACGAUAUGUAUGUUCAAUCUUUUGGCAGGUAGUUGGCUCCAUACACCAUUCCCUGAGCACAUCACUAAACCCCGCUCCUGUCAUCAGAGUGAGAUCAAGGUCAGAAGAGAAUGGACUCGCUGGAUGAUUCCUCAUGUUUAUUGUAUUUGUAUUUGUAUUUGUGCCUGCAUCUAAUUACAGACCUCUGGUGGCUGAACCCUGUCUAUUGGCAUCUAAUAGCUCUCUACUAGUUCCCGUUCUACAUGGUGCUGUCGGAUCAGCGCCUUAAUAUUUUUCAUGGUCCUUUGAGCCGGAUAUCAUCACUACCACAGCCCAAGAUGUCUCAGAGCUACGCAGAGUCCAGGUGUGCAGCUGUCUCCUGUCCUCAGAUCUCUACCCAUCGCUGUUGUGUGGUUCCAGCUGAUCUCAGCUCCUGACCUGCACAGUCCUUUCCUGUCGCUGACAUGGGUCUGGCUGUCUGCUGUCCUGAGAUCUCGGCGCGUGGCUGCUGUGGAGAUCCAGCCCACCUUAGCUGCAGUUUCGGAGCCCUUACCUGUUGUUGCUGUGGAGGCCCAACUGAGCCCUGCUGCUGCGGCUUGGCCUCCUGAUCUAGGGCUUUCGUCUUGUUGCCCUGCUGCGGCCUAGCCUCCUGAUCCAGGGCCUCUGUCUGGUAGCUGCUGCCCGUUGCUGCUUUGUGGGUCCAGCCACCAAAGUAUCCACUCCUGAGACUAUCAUCAAGCUCUGCUGCAGCGGCCCCGAUGUCUCCAGUCCCGGUGUCUUCAGCCGACACCAUGCCAGGGGUCAAGAGCACUGCAGAGGUCCUCCUGUUGCCUUUUUUUGGGCAGAGGGGGUGACCGCAACCGAGUCCACCACUGCAUCCUGUUGGCUCCCCUCUUCAAGAACUGCUGUACAGCCUGCACUGGUGUCCGCCAUGUCACUCUGGUUUGGUGACCUCAAGCACCUUCCUGACGGGGUGGCCAGAUGCCCAAAGAACCAAACCCUGCUUGGCCAGAUGCCUAUGCUCUAUGUCUAUGCCCUACUUGGCCAGACACUCACAAGGACUGGACUUUUCCUUGUCUGGCUCCUUCACAGCUCUGCUUCCCUGUCUAGGACAAUGAACACACACUAGUGGCCUUCUGUCAUCCCCUUUGUUAGAGCCUUUUGUUUAGAGUUCACAUUUACACAGUAAAUGUGGGGGUGGCUGUUAGAAAGGCCAACUCUGAUUUAGUAGUUUCAGCACCCCUUUUCUAGUAGUUUAUUAUAUUUGCCCAACACCCCUUAUUUCUCACAGUAGUGGUACCUGGAAUCUGUUACAUUCCAGUCAUGUUUUCAGUUAUUAUGCUUACCAGUAUUUUGGUCCUGUAAGUGUAAUACUGUAGCUUGUGUAUUUGGUUUGGGCGCUUACAUUAUAUCUUGGUAUAAACAGUAUACUCAUGGUUAUAUUUUUUUAAAUCUUUCCAUAGAACCACGUUUAUACACUCUCACUUUUACUGUGAGCCAUCAUUACAGAGGAGUGUGGUGUGGUGAACCUUUAUCUUUAAUAAACCUGACAAUACUGUGAGCUCCAAAAGUAUUGGGACAGUGACACAUUUCUUGUUGUUUUGUCUCUGUACUCUAGCACUUUGGAUUAGAAAUGAUGGUAACACUUUACUUGACAGUUGUUAUGAUAUGGUCAUAACACUGUCAUGACACAUAUAUUUAGACCUCUUGUGACAUAUAUUGCAUUAUUUUAUGGCUGG